ACCUCCACUUAGAGCUCCACCUCAUUCUGGGCUCCUCCUGGCUCUUGAAGCUCCACCUUGCACUGGACUCCCCAUCAGAUAAUAAUGUUCUCUUCUCCCCUUCUUUCCCUCUAGAAUAAUCCUAUCGCCACAUAGCACCUUCAGAAUUUUUUCACCAGCUACUGUCCUAUUGCCUCUCGAAUCCAGUUUGCUCAGUGAGAU
RNAcentral lists this long non-coding RNA (201 nucleotides) under Elaeis guineensis (African oil palm). Its description in RNAcentral is "long non-coding RNA (EGUI_LNC069767)". Lineage: Eukaryota; Viridiplantae; Streptophyta; Magnoliopsida; Arecales; Arecaceae. The record is from RNAcentral.